UGCAGGUUUGAAAAAACACCAUUAACACCUCCAGCAACCACCCUCUCCCCCACUCCUGCACUUCAGAUCAGUGAAGAUGAUAUGUGUCAGGUCUUCAGAAAGAACAAGAGAAGAAAAGCACCAGGCCCAGACGGUGUCACACUAGCCUGUCUGAAAACCUGUGCUGACCUGUUGGCCCCCAUCUUCUCAACGAUCUUCAACAGAUCACUGGAGCUGUGCGAAGUCCCUUCCUGCUUCAAAUGCUCCACCAUCAUCCCCGUCCCUAAGAAACCCAAAAUUACAGGACUUAAUGACUACAGACCUGUGGCUCUAACGUCUGUGGCCAUGAAGGCAUUUGAAAAACUGGUGCUGGCCCACCUGAAGGACAUUACUGGACCCUUGCUGGAUCCUCUUCAGUUUGCCUACAGAGCAAACAGGUCUGUGGACGAUGCAGUCAACAUGGGACUGCAUUAUGUUCUGCAACAUCUAGACAUACCAGGGACUUAUGUGAGGAUCCUGUUUGUGGACUUCAGCUUGGCUUUUAACACUAUCAUCCCAAACCUCCUCCUGCCCAAACUAACUCAGCUCUCCGUGCCCACCUCCGUCUGUCAGUGGAUCACCAGCUUCCUGACAGACAGGCAGCAGCUAGUAAAACUGGGGAAAUUCUCAUCCAGCAGCUGUACGAUCAGCAUUGGCACCCCCCAGGGUUGUGUCCUCUCCCCAUUGCACUUCUCCCUGUACACCAAUGACUGCACCUCUAAAGACCCCUCUGUCAAGCGCCUGAUGUAUGCAGAUGACACCACAGUCAUCGGCCUCAUUCAGGACGGUGGCGAGUCUGCUUACAGACAGGAGGUUGAGCAGCUGGCUGUCUGGUGCAGUCACAACAACCUGGAGCUGAACACGCCCAAAACUGUGGAAAUGAUCGUGGACUUCAGGAGGAACCCCCCUGCACUCCCCUCACUCACCAUCAUGAACAGCAUGGCAAUAAAUCUCAUUCUGAUUCUGAUUCUUAUGUGUAAUUUCUGAUGUUCAUACUUUGAUUUCUUCCUCUGUCUCAGUGAAGCUGUACGGUGUCCUGGUGUCUAAAAGAUGAAGGUCUCUGACGCUCCUCUUCAG
RNAcentral lists this long non-coding RNA (1095 nucleotides) under Sinocyclocheilus anshuiensis. RNAcentral describes it as "lncRNA (ENSSANG00000026312.1)". Lineage: Eukaryota; Metazoa; Chordata; Actinopteri; Cypriniformes; Cyprinidae. The record is from RNAcentral.